Lagenorhynchus albirostris (white-beaked dolphin) is the source of this 521-nucleotide long non-coding RNA. RefSeq lists it as uncharacterized. The transcript is spliced from 3 exons. Lineage: Eukaryota; Metazoa; Chordata; Mammalia; Artiodactyla; Delphinidae. The record is from RefSeq and is a predicted model, not a curated record.
AGCCGGGAAGAGAGUCCACAUCAGGAACUGAACCAGCUGGCACCCUGAUCUUGGACUUUCCAUCCUUCACGACUGUGAGAAACAAAUAUCUGCUGUUUGAGACACCCAAACUGCGGUGAGAGGAUUUGAGUUUCCCCGUGGGAAGGAUUGGCCCUAUUUAGAAUUCAGGCUACAUGGUUCUGUUCUCUGAUGGGCUCAAGAAAACUGAUGAUUUAAUGUGAUCAAAGUACCUACAUUGUCAGAGUUACAUUCUCUGCAGCAUUCUUCAUCUUAGGUGGAAGCAGAAUCCCACCUUUUUAAGAGAUUAACUAUAACACAAGGCUCUGAACUGAGAGAAAGAACGUGGGGGAGUAAGGAAGGAAUGAAGGGAGGAAGGAGAGGAGUCUGCAGUACAGAAACAAUAAGUGACUGCUACAAGAUCGUAGAGAAGAAACGUAAACGGUGGAAACAGUUGGAAAAUAGGUGCUUGAUUCUGAGUUAUGAGUGCUCUCCAUUCUACAAAGAUAUUGGAAAUGGCUUGA